This 36-nucleotide transfer RNA is filed under the name Palustriella falcata. Its description in RNAcentral is "partial tRNA-Ser". The record is from RNAcentral. RNAcentral also lists the same sequence under 4 other names. Lineage: Eukaryota; Viridiplantae; Streptophyta; Bryopsida; Hypnales; Amblystegiaceae.
UUUUGUUUACCGAGGGUUCGAAUCCCUCUCUUUCCG